Molecule: non-coding RNA, 672 nt
Organism: Oncorhynchus mykiss (rainbow trout)
Lineage: Eukaryota; Metazoa; Chordata; Actinopteri; Salmoniformes; Salmonidae
Source: RefSeq, a predicted model, not a curated record
GAGACAUAUUGGUGACACGACGGAGAGCCUAUCUACGUAACUGGUUUCAAGAACCAGCCUUCAUCAAACAUGAAAUUAUGACGAUGAGGGAUGUGAGAUGAGUGAGCAGCUGACAGAUAUCACUUGUGUGAUCUGAGUCACAUGCACCAACGAGACUGACCGAAUAUCAAACGAGAGUCACCCAGGCGACUCCAGACUAACUCUGACUGGAAGUGAACAAAAGUCUCCAGGCUCCAGAAGAUUGGACAACGAGACACCUGUCUACACACUUAUUACCCCAGAGACGUUCACUUGAUACGCUGCUCACUAAUAGUCGUGUGACAGACUGUACCUCCCCUUUCACUGAAUAGAACAAAAGUUUGAGUACCUGGCAAUAUCUCCCCUUCCACCGACGAGGACAAAAGAGGACUACCUGGCAAUAUCCUGUUUAUUGUCCCACUGAGGCUUGUUUAAUUAAAAAUAAACACCUCUUUAUGGUCCAAGGUCGCCAAUACAAUUGGUGUUCUAUUGUAAGUGAAUGAAAGCCCUUUGUGUGUACUUUACGUUGUUUACUGACUUUUGUGUCCCCCAUCACCCUCUUCCUAUUUCUAGACAGGAAGUGGCCUAUUGUGGACAGAAGCAGAUCAGUGAGAGUGGACAGCUUGUAUUGGUCGUGUAGAAGGACUGGACAGC